UACCAGCUCUCCGAGUGGUAGGGAUGAUUAUUGGGCUUAAAGCGUCCGUAGCCGGCUUGGCAAGUUUCCUGUUAAACUCUGCGACUUAAUCGUUGAAUCGCGGGAAAUACUACUAGGCUAGGAGGCGGGAGAGGUCAACGGUACUUCUGGGGUAGGGGUGAAAUCCCAUAAUCCCGGGAGGACCACCAGUGGCGAAGGCUGUUGACUAGAACGCGCUCGACGGUGAGGGACGAAAGCUGGGGGAGCGAACCGGAUUAGAUACCCGGGUAGUCCCAGCUGUAAACGAUGCGGGCUAGGUGUUGGGAUGGCUACGUGCCAUUUCUGUGCCGCAGGGAAGCCAUUAAGCCCGCCGCCUGGGGAGUACGGCCGCAAGGCUGAAACUUAAAGGAAUUGGCGGGGGAGCACCACAAGGCGUGAAGCUUGCGGUUC
Molecule: ribosomal RNA, 429 nt
Filed under: uncultured archaeon
Lineage: Archaea
Description: bacterial SSU rRNA
Rfam family: Archaeal small subunit ribosomal RNA
Source: RNAcentral